Molecule: ribosomal RNA, 253 nt
Filed under: uncultured bacterium
Lineage: Bacteria
Description: partial 16S ribosomal RNA
Rfam family: Bacterial small subunit ribosomal RNA
Source: RNAcentral
GACAGAGGAUGCAAGCGUUAUCCGGAAUGAUUGGGCGUAAAGCGUCUGUAGGUGGCUUUUCAAGUCCGCCGUCAAAUCCCAGGGCUCAACCCUGGACAGGCGGUGGAAACUACCAAGCUGGAGUACGGUAGGGGCAGAGGGAAUUUCCGGUGGAGCGGUGAAAUGCGUAGAUAUCGUUUGGAACGCCAAUGGUGAAAACAGGCGACUGGGGAUGUGCUGACGCUGAGACACGAAAGCCAGGGGAGCAAACGGG